Molecule: non-coding RNA, 4337 nt
Organism: Doryrhamphus excisus (bluestripe pipefish)
Lineage: Eukaryota; Metazoa; Chordata; Actinopteri; Syngnathiformes; Syngnathidae
Source: RefSeq, a predicted model, not a curated record
GAACUGGGAACUGGGAAACAAAGGCAAACAAAGGCAAAUCAAAGAUGGCUGCCACUAAUUUUCCUGUGUCAGAGUCUCUUUGCAAAUCUGUUUAAAAUCACCAAAAUACUGGUGCCAUCCAUGUGCUAUGAAAGCAUUGUUGGUGAUAAAGUAUUCUUUUGGUUCAUUUUUUGAGGAUAUUUGACGAGUUCUGGUGUUUUUUGACCGUGAACUUUGAAAGAGGCCUGAGAGCAUACAGUGACCAGCAACAGAACUUCAAGCUUCCUGGAGCAUACCUUUUGUAAAAGAGGUUGAAAACAUGGCGACAACAACUAAAAAGUUGGCAGAAGAGCUGGAAGAGAUUAAAAAAACGCUCAAUUUCAUGUCUGAGGAGAUCAGCAAAGUGGUUAAGCAGCAAGCCAGUCUGAUGGGCCUAGUGGAAGAAGUCCGUGAGCUGAAGGCCACAAUCAAACUUAAAGACCAGAAGAUCCAUCUGCUUGAAGAAAGGAUCGAUGACUUGGAGCAGUUCUCCAGGGGAAAUGAUCUGAUCAUCACUGGGCUGGAUACAAGACAUCGCAGCUAUGCCAGGGCUGCAGCCAGCGACCAGCAAGGCUGCCCAAGAUAAAGAAAGAGGAAGUACAGCCGCUGGUGUAAUGCUUCAAAUAGCAGCCACGCUUUCCCAAUGACAGGCUGGGAACGUAUCAUCAUGUCCAUCAAGUCUUACCGUGGUAACUCAAGACAAAGAAUCCAGCUCCAGAGAAGUCUGAGUGGAAUUUGAUGAGGAUGAUGUUGGAGGUCGAAUAGACGGACUCCAACGCCGUGUUCCCACUGAAUUGGCCAAUCUGAGGAGAUGACUGGUCUGGACCGUCCCUGCUCGGAAAAGGGGAAAAAAAACAAAACAAAAAGUCAGCAUUGCCCUCCAAAGUUGGGACGCAUCUACUAGUUUGAAGAAUGGAGCGAGAGGACACAAUGCUAACCUGGCCCUACACCCGACUGUACGUACAAGGGAUGUCCACACUUCCCCCAGCGGGGGGUCACACACUGACAAAUGAAGGGACGCCAGGUCCACUGAGGUAUAUUUCCAGAAAAAAAGCCUACUAUCAACUUCAUGCUCUGUUUUACUUUAUUGCAAUGACGUUAUUUCCUUAUUUCAUAUUACCACAUUGAAAAAAAAUCUUUAAUAAUAUUACUUGGGGAGAAAAAAGCUGAUUCUUUCUCUCAUAUUUCAACUUUAUGUUCCGAGAAUGAUGUCAUUUUCCGUCAUACAAUUAUGAGGUCCAACGAGGUCCUUUAAAAUGUUACUGGGGAGAAAGGAAAUUGGUUUAGAGGCCAAGGUGGAGUCUUUUUCAAGUGUAGCUUCAGUUAGCAUAGCGGGACAGGAAGUUAUCCGUGGACUCCCGGGUCAGACCCGGUCAGGCUGAGCCGCGGGAGUGGAAUUUACAAAUAGAGCCCCCGCUGUCCGUGAUUAAAAAGGUAUGAUGGCGGAGUUAACUAAAAUGGUCAUUUCCUGCUGUUUGAGCGACUUUGGAUGGGGCUAAUUACACUUGAUGAGGAAGAGAAGGCAUCAGGGUCUCCUCCGAUCCACAUUAGGUGGUCUCGUCUUCAUCAUGGCUUCUAAGUGCAUACCGCCAAGACUUGGCAACACGCGUGACAUAUAUAAUCAGUCCUACUACACCGCCGACGCCCCCGUAGGCCUGCCGGUAUGUGAGCAAUUAGCAUCCAAACCAAACUGUCAGGUUCUGGCACUGGACCUGAGCAGGCCUGCUGUGAAAAUGGCACUCCCACGAUGGAGACGGCGCUCCCUGCAGAGAGGCGCUUUUUAGUGGCGGCGGUGAUGAGAUAGUCAGCUGGGCUCAGACGCUUUUAUUUGUGUGUGAUUUUAGCAAUUGGCACACAAGGCGGCAGGGGGGUCACGGACAAUCUUCGCAGUUAGGAAUUUUCCAAAUGGACUGCACAUCGUUAUGUGGAUUGAACGGAAUGGGGUACCUUUCAAAUGCGGACAGAGUAACUUCCAUCCAUUUUCUGGUUGCGGGCAUCCUCAUUCCACCAAAUCAUUUGAAUAUGCAGUUAGUGAUUUACUGACAUGUUGUUGUCCUUUAGGUACUUAGGUAUCUUUGCGUAGUUGUUUCAUUGGCUUCAUGAGAUGUUAAGUAAAACGUAAAAAAAUGAGCCACACAAAUCAUCCACAGGCGCUAAACCUGGUUCACACUACCUGGGUCAAGUGGCACGAUUUCGAUUUUGAGGAAGGAGAGGCUGUGCGUCUUCCUCUUCCUUUCGGGCGAGUGUGACAUGUGACGCACCUUCAUAUAGCAUUAGCAUGUCCGGUCGUCCAGCUCAUGGCACCUACCAGACAGUGAUGUAGUCGUAUAUGGGCUCCGUGCUGAGGACGGUGAAGUUGAUGUAAAUCCCGUGUCCCGGCGGAACCCUUACGCUCCAAACGCAGUCCUGGAAAUUGGGGUACUCCUCGGGGUGACCGGGUGAGUAGAUGGUCCCGUUUAACGAUGUGAUGUUUCCACCGCAUAGAGCUGGAAAGACAGUUACACACACAUGUCACUUUUGCUCUUUUUACUUAAGUUUUGAACUUCCAUGAUGUUCCCCCAAGCGUGAGGCCGACUCUUCUGGGGAGGGGCAGAACCACAAAGGAAAGUGAAAGUGAAAAGUGAAGUAAAACGCUCAGUGGCGAAAUCAAGGAUCUUCUCCCAUGAAAUGGAAAGUGAUAACUAAACAGCAUAGUGGUCACCUCUCAAAAAGCCCUUCUCUCCCUCCUUUGCAACACCCCUUUUCAAUGUGCCAGACCACCAUCCAGGAACCCAACCUGUUGCAAACCCGACGGCCUCCUGUACAUCCAACUGCGACCCGCGUGGCGCUUACCUUGGAACGUGAUGUGGAACCCGGGCUUGUUCUGCGAGUAAUCGCUGUGGAAGAAGAAGCUGGUCUGGUGCGUGGUGCUGAACAGAGGCUUGGGGACCGCGGGGCCGCUGAAGCGGUCGAUGACUGAGCCCGUGUCCGGGCUGCCGCUACGGAUCUCCAGGUAGUCGUGAAUGGCCUCGGUGGAGAAGUUGACAAACUGGAGGUGGAUGCCUGUCGGACAAUACAAAUACACCAACCUCACAUAACGGAAAGACAUUUACUGCAAACACAUGCUGGGACACUUUACCAAGAGCUAUAGUAACGCUGAACCAUCACAAGGUUACACAAGGUCAAGUUUAGUAUUAUUUUUAGUACUACAUAGUAACAUGAAGAAAUGUUCCAAGAAAGAAAAAACCUUCCUCACCGAAGCCCACAGGUAAGUUGACGCUCCACGUGCAGUCCAAGCCGCUCGGGUAGUUGCCGGGGUAACCGGGACUGAGAAUGACACCGCUUACGUCCGUCAGAGCCCCCCCACACUGGGCUGGAGAUACGCACACACCGAGAAGACAAAAUGACACAAACACACACAGUCGGCCUGCUUAAAAAGCGGAGCUUUGGAGUGCUUUGGCAUCAUCGGUGAAUAGCAAAUCAAGUCUUUAAUAGAUUCCCUAUCACACUCGGCAAAAAAAGCUGCGAGCGCGAGAUCCAAUUAAUUUGCAACACAAGGUCAAAGAUAAACAUCCAAUUUGGAUGCAUCAGUGGCAGCUCAUGGGCAAGAGCACUUAUUUCCCCCCCACAGCCUUUUAAAUUCACUCACACUCAUCGUAGGUAAUCAAGGCUCCUGUGCAUUACUGCGGCGUGAGCCAUGCAUUAUUCAACACGGCUUUUUGCCGCCUGCGGACGGCCAACUGGAGACCGGCGUAAUUGUGUUGGCUUUACCCAGGUGCUAACGCAACAACAAGCAUGGCAAACGCUCGCGGGACGCCAUCUUGGAUGAAACAGUCCUUAAACUAGGACACGACUAGGCUGCUUAUGGUUUGACAUAUAAACUUACGACUUUAUGUGCAUUUCCUCCCUUGCCUUAGAGUGCCUUAUGAAUUUCAGUCUCAUCUCCAAAUAUUACAAGAAUAGAUUUGGAAUAUCAUGAUCACACAAGAAUGAAGCUGUACUAUCCCAAGAAUAAAGUCAUAAUCUCGAAGGAAUAACCUGAAGAAUUAAGAAUUUCGCUGUGGAUUAAGUGUGUUAAAAAGUCGUACUUUCUGUUGAAACGAGAAAAAGUUAUUGUAAUAGGUAAGAGAUGACUUCAGCAAUAUUCUCCAUGAUCAUCUUCUAUAAGCAUCAUGGAUAUUUGCUGAUGUAGUCCUGUUUGUUUGCUUCCCUUGUUAUGUUUUUGUUGCUGUUGUUCUUGUCUCUUUUUGUCCCCAUCUUGUUCCCCCACACAGCAAAUAAAAAGCAGAAUAAAGUAGAAAUAUGACGUUUCUUGUGAAUAAGCCGCCUGCCUGCCUGCC